Molecule: ribosomal RNA, 514 nt
Filed under: uncultured bacterium
Lineage: Bacteria
Description: partial 16S ribosomal RNA
Rfam family: Bacterial small subunit ribosomal RNA
Source: RNAcentral
GAUGAACGCUGGCGGCGUGCCUAAUACAUGCAAGUCGAGCGAACAGAUGAGGAGCUUGCUUCUCUGAUGUUAGCGGCGGACGGGUGAGUAACACGUGGGUAACCUACCUAUAAGACUGGGAUAACUCCGGGAAACCGGGGCUAAUACCGGAUAAUAUUUUGAACCGCAUGGUUCAAUAGUGAAAGACGGUUUCGGCUGUCACUUAUAGAUGGACCCGCGCCGUAUUAGCUAGUUGGUAAGGUAACGGCUUACCAAGGCGACGAUACGUAGCCGACCUGGGAGGGUGAUCGGCAACACUGGAACUGAGACACGGUCCAGACUCCUACGGGAGGCAGCAGUAGGGAAUCUUCCGCAAUGGGCGAAAGCCUGACGGAGCAACGCCGCGUGAGUGAUGAAGGUCUUCGGAUCGUAAAACUCUGUUGUUAGGGAAGAACAAAUUUGUUAGUAACUGAACAAGUCUUGACGGUACCUAACCAGAAAGCCACGGCUAACUACGUGCCAGCAGCCGCCGUAA